RNAcentral lists this ribosomal RNA (495 nucleotides) under uncultured bacterium. Its description in RNAcentral is "partial 16S ribosomal RNA". It matches the Rfam family "Bacterial small subunit ribosomal RNA", at positions 28 to 507 of the family's 1533-position model. The record is from RNAcentral.
GACGAACGCUGGCGGCGUGCCUAAUACAUGCAAGUAGAACGCUGAAGGAGGAGCUUGCUCUUCUGGAUGAGUUGCGAACGGGUGAGUAACGCGUAGGUAACCUGCCUGGUAGCGGGGGAUAACUAUUGGAAACGAUAGCUAAUACCGCAUAAGAGUAGAUGUUGCAUGACAUUUACUUAAAAGGUGCAAUUGCAUCACUACCAGAUGGACCUGCGUUGUAUUAGCUAGUUGGUGGGGUAACGGCUUACCAAGGCGACGAUACAUAGCCGACCUGAGAGGGUGAUCGGCCACACUGGGACUGAGACACGGCCCAGACUCCUACGGGAGGCAGCAGUAGGGAAUCUUCGGCAAUGGACGGAAGUCUGACCGAGCAACGCCGCGUGAGUGAAGAAGGUUUUCGGAUCGUAAAGCUCUGUUGUAAGAGAAGAACGAGUGUGAGGGUGGAAAGUUCACACUGUGACGGUAUCUUACCAGAAAGGGACGGCUAACUACGUG